Molecule: ribosomal RNA, 484 nt
Filed under: uncultured bacterium
Lineage: Bacteria
Description: partial 16S ribosomal RNA
Rfam family: Bacterial small subunit ribosomal RNA
Source: RNAcentral
AUUGAACGCUGGCGGAAUGCUUUACACAUGCAAGUCGAACGAUGAACCUUAGCUUGCUAAGGGGAUUAGUGGCGAACGGGUGAGUAAUAUAUCGGAACGUGCCUUGUAAUGGGGGAUAACUAGUCGAAAGAUUAGCUAAUACCGCAUACGCCCUGAGGGGGAAAGUAGGGGAUCUUCGGACCUUACGUUAUAAGAGCGGCCGAUAUCUGAUUAGCUAGUUGGUGGGGUAAUGGCCUACCAAGGCGACGAUCAGUAGCUGGUCUGAGAGGACGACCAGCCACACUGGAACUGAGACACGGUCCAGACUCCUACGGGAGGCAGCAGUGGGGAAUUUUGGACAAUGGGCGAAAGCCUGAUCCAGCCAUUCCGCGUGAGUGAAGAAGGCCUUCGGGUUGUAAAGCUCUUUCGCAAGGGAAGAAAACUUACCAUCGAAUAAAUGGUGAGGCUGACGGUACCUUGAUAAGAAGCACCGGCUAACUACGUG